GUAGGUGAACCUGCGGAAGGAUCAUUAAAAAAGUGCACCUGGCUAAGUAGCUUAACCACUGCUUAGCUGGAUUGUAUUUCAACCUGUUUACCUUUACCGAGUGCUUCCCUGAUUUAGGGUGCUCUGCCUGCUCGCAGGCUGGAGUUACCUUUCAGGGGUAUUGUAAAAAAAUUGUUUUAGAUUGUCUUGUCUGAAUAAAAAAAUAAUAGUUAAAACUAUCAACAACGGAUCUCUAGGUUCUCGCAUCGAU
This 250-nucleotide unclassified non-coding RNA is filed under the name plant metagenome. Its description in RNAcentral is "partial contains small subunit ribosomal RNA, internal transcribed spacer 1, and 5.8S ribosomal RNA". The record is from RNAcentral.